Cynoglossus semilaevis (tongue sole) is the source of this 814-nucleotide long non-coding RNA. RefSeq lists it as uncharacterized. Lineage: Eukaryota; Metazoa; Chordata; Actinopteri; Pleuronectiformes; Cynoglossidae. The transcript has 3 exons. The record is from RefSeq and is a predicted model, not a curated record.
CAGUGCACGUUAAAACGGAAGCACGCUGAAAUUUGUUUGAGCAGACUGUGUAAAAAAAAACUCAUGGAAUCUUUUAUUUUGAAUAAAAGACAAAGGAAGUGGCUACGCUAAUGAACUCAUGUCGCUUUACCAAACACGGAGUUUUUUGCAACACCACGUGAGAACGUGCACCGAGUUACUGUAAGAACAGAACACUACGGCUUCUUUGAGACAGGACAUUCUCUGCCCCUGCCGCUGCAGUCUGUGGAGACCGGGGUGGAAUCAUUUCACUGAACCUUGGUGUUCAUCCCAUCCAGCGGUUUCAUCCAAUCGCCCCGUGGCCUCUGGUGGUUGACUGUGAUGUGGAGCACGGCGGUCGUGAACUUCUACCUGAAAGGACAAUUUCCAUUUCCAAACGUGGGCAGCGUCUCAACUAAAUCAUUACAUGUCACAUUGUUUUUGGACAAUAUGACCUAAGCAUGACAGUGUUCUGGUCCUGUUAUUAUCUUUGAUGGGGCAAAACCACAUCCUCACGUGUGUGCAGCAAAAACCAUAACAACACUGUAUUUAUGCCUGUCUGGGACAGGCGUGGACUCACCGACAGCUGUGUGAUGUGGGACAGACAGAGAAACGUCUUGAAUUUGUCAUCCUGUCUUUGUCUAGGUAGGUAGGUAGACAGACAGGUAGACAGAUAAGGUUUAGAUUUUACAGGCCUCCUGGCUGGCUGGUUGAUGUUAGCCAGUCCUAUCAUUGAACAAUUAUAAUAACGGGGAAUUUAAAAUGUUGAUAAAAUUCUAAACACGGUGGAUAUUUUCCUUCAAAAUAAAAUAAAAAA